AGGCCCGGGCGUGUGCCAGGAUCAUGGCCGUGAGUGUCUCUGCUGUGGGCAGCUUUGGCUCACACUGAGCUUUCAUGACCUUGCUCUGAGCAGAGACACUGGCGAGGCCAAGGGCUCCGUCCUCAUCCUGCUGAGAGAUCAUUUUAUCUCCUCCGCCGCCUUCUCAGCCAUUUGAUCCCAUACCACCGCUUCACUCCUGGGAAAGGAUCUACCAUAUUUUGAAGAUCCAAUGUUUUGGAUUGCCAUAUGGAGAGAGAUGAGGAACUCUAUGUCCUGAAGUUGACAGGUACUUCCGAGUCUUUCCUUUGCUAGAUUAUGGGCUGACAUAAAAGAACCCAGGUUGUCAAAGAUCUUGGAAGUUGACUUCUUAUCAGCAUCUCCUGUGAGAUUUGAAUAAAAGAAUAAUCGGGACCUCAACAAGAGAGAUUGUGAAGUAACUGGUCCAGCUUUCUCACAGAGAAAAGACUUGGUAGGCGGGAACGCUAUGUGUUCGUCUGGAGAUAAAGUGCAGGCAUUGCCCCAGGUCCUGGUGACGUUUGAGGAAGAGGAGGGGGAGGUGUCACUCUGGAGAGGAAGAAACCACCAGCACCAGGAUUUCCUGCUCACAGGCUAAUUGGGUGUCCUGUGGAAACCUCAUUGUGCUGAGCUCCUGAAGAUGGAUGUCAAUGAAGAAUCUCCUCAGCACUUUCUGUGGGGCUAUCCUGUAACCACUGAAUCCCUCUGCUAACUGCUGGCUCUCAGGUUUUCUGUGGAAAGGAUGCUAAAGAGUGGGAAAUUUAACAACAGAGAAGCUGUAGCUCCAGGAUAAUCACCCCCUUUUCCAGGUCUGUCUGUAGACCUCUAGACAGUCUGCAUCACGUCGAACCACCCCUCUCUCUCCUUCUUAAUCAGGGCUAAGAGAGGUCUAGCCUUUCCCUGCUCUUUCCAUUAGAGGGAAAGACGUUCAUUUCUUUCUUUGUGAAAGCGUCUCACAUAGCUCAAGCUUGAAGUAGGAACUUCUAGUUUCUUUGGAAAGACAGUUAUGUCAAAUGAUGUUGUGUUGGGGCACUCAGGUGAAAGGAUGGAUGUCUUGCUAAAGCAGACAUGUGAAAGAAUGUGUUCCUGAAGCAGACAUGGGUAAAAGGAUGUUUUGAUAUAGCAGACAUGUGAAAGGAUGUGUGAUGGAGGAGUAUAAAUAUGACCCCGCAGACAGUGGGAGGCGAGCACUGAGCAUUGGUUUGGUUUGCUUCAACUUGCUAUUCUUCUCUUCUUCACUGAGUAUUGUUUUGCCGUACACCAUCUUGCAUCUUGUUGCGCUUCGCUUGUGGUAGCACCACCAUCGAGAGAAACUCACCAAAGAACUCCUGGUGAGAUUCUCACAGCUUCUUGCUGCUUCAGUGACCUCAGGCCAGUGGUUGAGCCUUGGGGUUUCCUCGGGAUGGAAUGAACUACAGCUGCUUGUUCAUGUGUGGUAUCUGCCUGGUGAGAGGACUAGACUGUAUCUGCUGAUUCGCAUUUGGUGUUUGCUAUGGGACUGAACUGCUGAUAAAGAAGAUUGAGCCUGACCCCAAAGAACUAUUUCUAAACAGGUCCACUUUCCCCAUAUCCAAUUAACUUUCGUCUUCCACUGCCUCUGGUGGGUGGUGGACAAGUGGAGAGGUUGGAUGUUUAUUAAACGAAGGUUGAAAAUAAUUUAUGCCUACACAAGAUGGCCUCAAAUCCACAGUGGAGCUGAUGGUGACCUUGAGUCCCUGAUUCACCACUUCCCAAUCAUUGUGCCUGUGCCACCAUCUCUGUUUGAGAAUGUUAAUAUCCUACUUCAGUAAAGAGAUAGCAAGGCUAGCUGUUACAGGUGUGUGGAGAGGGAGUGGCUGCUUAGCUGUACCCCUCCUUCAUCCCACAGAGAACUGGCCCCCAUGGUCUGUAAAGACAUUCUGCCUUUAGAGCCGCAUGAAUGAGGUAAGUUCUACUUCUAUUUAUUUUUCUGUUAGAUCAAACACAACUUAAAUAUUUUUUAUGCUAGUAUUUGCCUACAUGCUUGCAUGUACACUAUAUGUGUACAGUGCCUGAGGGGGCCAGAAACACAUCUUACCCAGAAUUCCCAGUGACCACACCUAUCAGGACCCCAGAAGAAGUCUCUACCAGGCAACAUACAGCCACUUCUCUCUCCUAAGAUUAAAAGAGGGCAACAGAAAUCAAGGAAGAAUCACAUACCCAAAGAAGACAAGAGCAAAUAUAAGCACCUACAGUUAGAAUUUUCCCAAGCCCAAAUGUCUGGACACCAGGGUUAAAACAUAGCCGAUAGCAGACAGGACCUUAUGUCUGAACUAGAGCCCAGCAGCCUACCACAUUAGGCCUUGAGAGUUGCAGCAGGGAUUCUUAGAGAGGAAAUGAAUAAAUCCCUCAAAGACAUCUGUGCAAACACAAACAGUGGAAGGAAAUGAAUAAAACAGUUCAAAGCCUGAAAGUGGAAAUGGAAUCAAUAAGGAAAACCCAACACUGAGAGAAAUCUGGAUAAUGAAAAAAAAUGUAGGAACUAGGACAGGAACCUCAGAGGCAAACCUCACCAGCAGAAUACAAGAGAUGGAAGACAAUCUCAGAAAUCAAAUGGAUACCUCAGUCAAAAAAUGCUAAAUUUAAAAAACUCCUGGCACAAAACAUUCAUGGUGGGUGGUUCCACUCCUGGGCUGAUGGUCUUGGGUUCCAUAAGAAAGUAGGCUGAGCAAACCAUGAGGAAUAAGCACCCUUUCAUGGUGUCAGCAUCACCUCCUGCAGCCCCGUUUCUGCCCUGUUUGAGUUUCUGCGCUGAUUUCCUUAAGUGAUGAGAGCAAUAUGGAAGUGUAAGCCAAAUAAAAUAUUCCCCCCCCCGG
RNAcentral lists this long non-coding RNA (2849 nucleotides) under Mus musculus (house mouse). RNAcentral describes it as "predicted gene, 36201". The record is from RNAcentral. Lineage: Eukaryota; Metazoa; Chordata; Mammalia; Rodentia; Muridae.